CCUGGGCUACAAAGUGAGUUAAAGGCCAGCCUGAGCUGCACAGUAUAACCCUGUCUCAAAAAAAAGUUCACCUCUGACAGGGGGAGAUCUCUGGCAGACCCCUUUCCUGUCCUCGGUCAGGAACACAGGGAAUGGGCUGGAUUAGCUCUUCAGACCCUUCCUAAAGAGGGUUUGUGAACCCUUGCCCAUUUAAGGCCUCUGAUUCCUACGGGAGAGCCUGGGUCUUGUGCACAUGCCUGAAACGCCUUCUCCACUCAAGCUGAGAGGUACACGUGGGCACCCCCAGCCACACUAAUCACAGCCCCAACGCAAGCAUAUUAACGUAUGCUCCACUCAAAGUGCUGGGCGCCCACUUUAGGGGAGAGAUGGGGCCAGGAAACAAGCCAGAUGUUCAACCUCCCAGUUCGGUGUCCAAAGAGCUAGACAUCUGCCCAGAGACAGAACACCCCAUGAAGUCCUAAGGCUGCUCACAUAGGGCAGAGCAGCGAUUCACAGCUAUGAAGGGCACUCCGGGCCCUGCUUGUCUUCCUCCUUUGCUAUACUAUUCCCUGAGCUUCACAGAUGAGCUUGACAUAGACAUCCCAGUCAGCAGUGGUGGGAGGGGACUCAAGGUUUUUGACAGGCCGAGGAAAUGCAGACACCUAAUAUGGCUUCCUUCCGUAGAGGACAGGGAGGCCUCCACCACAUCAUUCCCCUUGCUCCUGUCUCCUCCUUCCAAGAGACAGUGGAUUGACCCACUCACUUCUCUUGUACCUUGAAAGUACAACCCCAAGUUUUACAGAUGAACAGGUGGGGCCCAAGGAAGGCAAAUAACUCGUGCCUAGUCACUACUUCCAGAGCAGCCCCUGCUACAGGGAGGAAACCUAAUGCGAUGACUCUGAGGUGUGCUUCUCUUGGAGUGGGACCUCGGGCUCUUCCACGAGUCUCCUUCUGGACUUGAGUUCUUUAAAUAGCCAACAUGACAAGAAAGCAAAGAAAGGGGAGAAUUUACCGACUCCUGCCCUAUGUCCCUACGUCUCCCCAGUGACAGGGAUCAGAGACGCAGCAGGCCUAAGCCAACAAACACAGCCCUAACCAAAGGCUGCACUCAGCUUCCCAUCACUCCCGACUAAGAACCUUGCUGUGCAUCACUCAUCCCCCUCAGCCUCUCGAGUGCAAAAGCCACCCAUCCCCAUGGGCCCAUGCUGGGGGGGAUUUUCUGCUAUAAAAAGAAGGAAGAUAGAGUGGGCUUUGGCUCCCAAGCCUUGAACGGAAAGUAGGAUUGAAAUUUUACCCACCCUCAUUCCUGGCCCCGGGGACCUGACGUGACAGUGCUGUCCAUGAGGCCAGAAAGAACAGCUGGAUCUCAGUAGGCUGAGGGUUAGAAAACGCAGCACCAGGGAGCCCAGAGCUGGCACCAGGUGCCCCACCCCCGCUGGUAACGAGGCACUCUCCCAGGACAGCCCAGACAUGAGCUCACCAUCCUCACAGCCCCGGGGUGGGGGCAGGAUCCUUCUCCUCAUGGGGCUUUGAGCUGCUUCCUCCCUGCCUGGGGCAGAGGACCAGCCCCUCCCUGCCCACCAGGUGAGCUGUAGAAGAACCAAGAAGGAAAACAGGUGCCUCAAGGUGUCCCUAGGACAGAAAGAAAGUGGACAACAGGAGGCUGCUGUCCUAGGAAGCUCCAACUGUCCCUGUUCACCCAGCCCCUUCCUUGAGGCACAGGGAGGUGGGAAGCAGCUACUCCGGAAGGAGAAGUUGGCUGUCCCUAGGCUGGCGUGUGGAUGGGAAGAGCUGAGGCUCGAGGAAGGCGUGUGGAAGAACAUAUGGGACACUGUCACCAAGGCUGGAUUGUGUGGGGACAGCAGCAGAGCGAGCCUCAGACUGUGAGACGAGGUGGUUGAGGGCGGCCGGCCUGGGUUUCCCCAUAAAACUUCCUCCUCCCACCUCAGCAGGCCUGAGGUCUGACCAAUCAGCCGUCCUUAUCUAGGAAAACUGAGCCAGCUGAAAGGCCCACUUGCCAAUCAACCCUUCUGACAACCUCCCCCUCCCACCACGAGCUUCGAGCUUCGCACUCCUGAGGAUUCUCAACUCCCCCAUCCCUUCGAUCUGCCACUCCAUUCCUGGAGUAAAGCAGGUGACAAAAUA
Molecule: long non-coding RNA, 2124 nt
Organism: Chinchilla lanigera (long-tailed chinchilla)
Lineage: Eukaryota; Metazoa; Chordata; Mammalia; Rodentia; Chinchillidae
Exons: 3
Source: RefSeq, a predicted model, not a curated record